RNAcentral lists this ribosomal RNA (471 nucleotides) under uncultured bacterium. Its description in RNAcentral is "partial 16S ribosomal RNA". It matches the Rfam family "Bacterial small subunit ribosomal RNA", at positions 28 to 523 of the family's 1533-position model. The record is from RNAcentral.
GAUGAACGCUGGCGGCGUGCCUAACACAUGCAAGUCGAGCGAACCCUUCGGGGUGAGCGGCGGACGGGUGAGUAACGCGUGGGUAACCUGCCCUAUACACACGGAUAACGUACCGAAAGGUACGCUAAUACGGGAUAAAGUUGUUGGAUGGCAUCUUCUAACAAUCAAAGCUCCGGCGGUAUAGGAUGGACCCGCGUCUGAUUAGCUAGUUGGUGAGGUAAUGGCUCACCAAGGCGACGAUCAGUAGCCGACCUGAGAGGGUGAUCGGCCACACUGGAACUGAGACACGGUCCAGACUCCUACGGGAGGCAGCAGUGGGGAAUAUUGCACAAUGGGCGAAAGCCUGAUGCAGCAACGCCGCGUGAGCGAUGAAGGUCUUCGGAUUGUAAACCUCUUUCAGUAGGGACGAAGCGAAAGUGACGGUACCUAAAGAAGAAGCACCGGCUAACUACGUGCCAGCCGCCGCAGUAA